RNAcentral lists this ribosomal RNA (250 nucleotides) under uncultured bacterium. RNAcentral's name for it is "partial 16S ribosomal RNA". It matches the Rfam family "Bacterial small subunit ribosomal RNA", at positions 524 to 773 of the family's 1533-position model. The record is from RNAcentral.
UACGUAGGGUGCAAACGUUGUUCGGAAUCACUGGGCAUAAAGAGCGCGUAGGCGGCUCAGUCAGUCCUUUGUGAAAGCCCCCGGCCUAACCGGGGAAUUGCAGGGGAUACUACUGGGCUUGAGUACAGAAGAGGAGAGCGGAAUUCCUGGUGGAGCGGUGAAAUGCGUAGAUAUCAGGAGGAACGCCGGCGGCGAAAGCGGCUCUCUGGUCUGUUACUGACGCUGAGGCGCGAAAGCUAGGGGAGCAAAC